This is a non-coding RNA of Podarcis lilfordi (Lilford's wall lizard), 70 nucleotides long. Lineage: Eukaryota; Metazoa; Chordata; Lepidosauria; Squamata; Lacertidae. The record is from the annotation of a GenBank genome assembly.
GAAUGGCUCAAUUGGUUAGAGCGUAGUGCUGGCAACGGCAAGGUUGCAGGUUCGAUCCCCAUAAGGGACA